CCCGCUGAACUUAAGCAUAUCAAUAAGCGGAGGAAAAGAAACUAACAAGGAUUCCCCUAGUAACUGCGAGUGAAGCGGGAAAAGCUCAAAUUUAAAAUCUGGUGGUCUUUGGCCAUCCGAGUUGUAAUUUAGAGAAGCGUCUUCCGCGCUGGACCGUGCACAAGUCUCCUGGAAUGGAGCGUCACAGAGGGUGAGAAUCCCGUCUUUGGCAUGGACACACCAGGGCUUUUGUGAUGCGCUCUCGAAGAGUCGAGUUGUUUGGGAAUGCAGCUCAAAAUGGGUGGUGAACUCCAUCUAAAGCUAAAUAUUGGCGAGAGACCGAUAGCGAACAAGUACCGUGAGGGAAAGAUGAAAAGCACUUUGGAAAGAGAGUGAAACAGUACGUGAAAUUGUUGAAAGGGAAACGCUUGAAGUCAGUCGCGUCGACCGAGACUCAGCCUCGCCUCGGCUUGGUGUACUUCUCGGCUGACGGGUCAGCAUCAAUUUCGCCUCUUGGAUAAUGGCGGGGGAAAUGUGACACCUUUACGGUGUGUUAUAGUCUCUCGUCGCAUGCAAGGGUCGGGAUUGAGGAAUUCAGCACGCCACCAGGCCGGGUUUUGACCACGUUCGUGCUUAGGAUGCUGGCAUAAUGGCUUUAAUUGACCCGUCUUGAAACACGG
RNAcentral lists this ribosomal RNA (659 nucleotides) under uncultured fungus. RNAcentral describes it as "eukaryotic LSU rRNA". It matches the Rfam family "Eukaryotic large subunit ribosomal RNA", at positions 24 to 664 of the family's 3401-position model. Lineage: Eukaryota; Fungi. The record is from RNAcentral.